Regulatory RNA element from Ornithinibacillus halophilus, 137 nucleotides. It matches the Rfam family "PyrR binding site". From Rfam's summary of the family: This family represents the PyrR binding site and terminator structure. This RNA structure is found upstream of a variety of genes involved in pyrimidine biosynthesis and transport. NCBI's taxonomy places the organism in Bacteria, Bacillati, Bacillota, Bacilli, Caryophanales, Bacillaceae. The record is from Rfam.
GUUACCUUUAAUUCAGUCCCGUGAGACUGGCAAGGUGGAGCAGACUAGGUCUGUUUAUCAAGAAAUGGUGGAAAAGUGUAUUUCCAUGGUUUCUACGUGCGUGUACACCUUGCCUUUGAUGGCAAGGUGUUUUUUAU